AGUGAACGCUGGCGGCAGGCCUAACACAUGCAAGUCGAACGGCAGCACAGUAAGAGCUUGCUCUUACGGGUGGCGAGUGGCGGACGGGUGAGGAAUACAUCGGAAUCUACUUUUUCGUGGGGGAUAACGUAGGGAAACUUACGCUAAUACCGCAUACGACCUACGGGUGAAAGCAGGGGAUCUUCGGACCUUGCGCGAUUGAAUGAGCCGAUGUCGGAUUAGCUAGUUGGCGGGGUAAGGGCCCACCAAGGCGACGAUCCGUAGCUGGUCUGAGAGGAUGAUCAGCCACACUGGAACUGAGACACGGUCCAGACUCCUACGGGAGGCAGCAGUGGGGAAUAUUGGACAAUGGGCGCAAGCCUGAUCCAGCCAUACCGCGUGGGUGAAGAAGGCCUUCGGGUUGUAAAGCCCUUUUGUUGGGAAAGAAGAGCAGCAGGUUAAUACCCCGCUGUUCUGACGGUACCCAAAGAAUAAGCACCGGCUAACUUCGUG
Molecule: ribosomal RNA, 492 nt
Filed under: uncultured bacterium
Lineage: Bacteria
Description: partial 16S ribosomal RNA
Rfam family: Bacterial small subunit ribosomal RNA
Source: RNAcentral